AGAAAACGGAGUCCUGGAAGGAGAAGAAUGAGGAUGCCAGCUGGUCACUCCUCCUUUGCUCCUGGCUAAUACAACUGCUGCAUGUUUGAUUUUUUCCAAAUCAGAGAGGGUUUAAAUGACAGAGGUGACCGGGGCGCAGCGGGGGCCUGGCCUCUUCCCUCUUCUGCCCCGUCCAGCUGAUCGGUAUCAGCCUGGGGUGGGGUGUCCUGUUUACGUCCCCGAGCAGGACCGGGAGUGCUGGCCCGUCCCACCGGCACCGACACCGUCCCCCGGUCCCCAGAGCGCAGCUGCAGGACAUCGGGCUCCUUGGAGCUCUGAGGUCGGGCUGUUUGUCUGUGCUGCAUGGAACUGCAUUUACAGUGCCUUUUGGGGUUUCUGUCGGUCACCCGCUGCGACCAAAUAUUUUUUUUCCCCCUCUGCUGCAUAACUUGGCUUCUGUUUUCUUGUUGUUGUUUUUUUCCUCCUGCCUUUGUAGCUGUUGGCUGCGGCCAGGGCCAAGUCACGGGGCAGGAUGUGCUGCUUCUCCGGAGGUGUUAUUCAGAUAAAGCCCAAGUAGAGAUUAUGCAGCAGAUUUGACCACCCGGAGGCUGCACAAAUGCUCAAGGUCCAGAUGCGAGUUGCACCUGAUGCAAACAAAGGAGAGCCCUGAUGAAGAGCAGAGACAGAGAGCAACUGCAUUUUUUACAGUAUAUUUCCCAGCCUGCGAGCCUUGCCGAGGCCUCAAUGCCUUCCCCUGAAGCAAUAAAAGGCAUUUGUGAUGUUUCUGUGCUGAACUGUGGGAAAAGAGCGGCGAGAAGCUGUGACCCCUGGGCAAGGGCAUGCUUUGGAAACACCGUCACUGAAAAAUCAACACAUCAAGCCCAGAAGGCCCAUGGGCUGCCGAUCUCCUCCCGCCUUAUCGGAGAGAGGACUCCUUUGGAUACUGGGGCAGCAGCCACCGGACAUUUUUGAGAUGUUUAUUCUAUCCAGUGUUGAUACUGAA
Molecule: long non-coding RNA, 982 nt
Organism: Grus americana (Whooping crane)
Lineage: Eukaryota; Metazoa; Chordata; Aves; Gruiformes; Gruidae
Exons: 4
Source: RefSeq, a predicted model, not a curated record